RNAcentral lists this small nuclear RNA (117 nucleotides) under Solanum tuberosum (potato). RNAcentral's name for it is "snRNA U5". It matches the Rfam family "U5 spliceosomal RNA". From Rfam's summary of the family: U5 RNA is a component of both types of known spliceosome. The precise function of this molecule is unknown, though it is known that the 5' loop is required for splice site selection and p220 binding, and that both the 3' stem-loop and the Sm site are important for Sm protein binding and cap methylation. Lineage: Eukaryota; Viridiplantae; Streptophyta; Magnoliopsida; Solanales; Solanaceae. The record is from RNAcentral.
AGCCACGCAGUGAGCACAAAGCGAACUAUUCUUUCGCCUUUUACUAAAGAAUAUCGUGUGCGCGCGGCAAUCAGUGGCAUACGCCAAUUUUUGGAGGGAUUCUCUUCUUUAGAGGAC